AGGGUAUGGCUGUUCGCCAUUUAAAGAGGUACGUGAGCUGGGUUUAAAACGUCGUGAGACAGUUUGGUCCCUAUCUUCCGUGGGCGCUGCAGAUUUGAGGAAGCCUGCUCCUAGUACGAGAGGACCGGAGUGGACGCACCUCUGGUGUAUCGGUUGUCACGCCAGUGGCAUUGCCGAGUAGCUAAGUGCGGAAGAGAUAACCGCUGAAAGCAUCUAAGCGGGAAACUCGUUUCAAGAUGAGAUCUGCCGGGGCCUUGAGCCCCCUGAAGAGUCGUUCGAGACCAGGACGUUGAUAGGCCGGGUGUGGAAGCGCAGUAAUGCGUUAAGCUAACCGGUACUAAUUGCUCGUGAGGCUUGACCCU
Molecule: ribosomal RNA, 362 nt
Filed under: Methylibium petroleiphilum
Lineage: Bacteria; Pseudomonadati; Pseudomonadota; Betaproteobacteria; Burkholderiales; Sphaerotilaceae
Description: partial 23S ribosomal RNA
Rfam family: Bacterial large subunit ribosomal RNA
Source: RNAcentral